GAUGAACGCUGGCGGCGUGCCUAAUACAUGCAAGUCGAGCGAACGGACGAGAAGCUUGCUUCUCUGAUGUUAGCGGCGGACGGGUGAGUAACACGUGGAUAACCUACCUAUUAGUCUGGGAUAACUUCGGGAAACCGUUGCUGAUACCGGAUAAUAUUUCGAACCUCACGGUUCAAAAGUGAUAGUCGCUCUUGAUGUCACUUCUAGAUGGAUCCGUGCUGCUUUAGCUAGUUGGUAAGGUAACGGCUUACCAAGGCAACGAUGCAUAGCCGACCUGAGAGGGUGAGCGGCCACACUGGAACUGAGACACGGUCCAGACGCCUACGGGAGGCAGCAGUAGAGAAUCUUCCACAAUGGGCGAAAGCCUGACGGAGCAACGCCGCGUGAGUGAUGAAGGUCUUCGGAUCGUAAAACUCUGUUAUUAGGGAAGAACAUAUGUGUAUGGAACUGUGCACAUCUUGACGGUACCUAAUCAGAAAGCCACGGCUAACUACGUG
RNAcentral lists this ribosomal RNA (497 nucleotides) under uncultured bacterium. Its description in RNAcentral is "partial 16S ribosomal RNA". It matches the Rfam family "Bacterial small subunit ribosomal RNA", at positions 28 to 507 of the family's 1533-position model. The record is from RNAcentral.